RNAcentral lists this transfer RNA (75 nucleotides) under Muribaculaceae bacterium. RNAcentral's name for it is "tRNA-Arg". It matches the Rfam family "tRNA". From Rfam's summary of the family: Transfer RNA (tRNA) molecules are approximately 80 nucleotides in length. Their secondary structure includes four short double-helical elements and three loops (D, anti-codon, and T loops). Lineage: Bacteria; Pseudomonadati; Bacteroidota; Bacteroidia; Bacteroidales; Muribaculaceae. The record is from RNAcentral.
GCCUCCGUAGUUUAAUGGAUAAAAUAGAAGAUUCCGGUUCUUCAGUUUAGGGUUCGAUUCCCUACGGGGGUACCA